Non-coding RNA from Tyto alba (common barn owl), 139 nucleotides. Lineage: Eukaryota; Metazoa; Chordata; Aves; Strigiformes; Tytonidae. The record is from Rfam.
AGCACUAUUUUUAAACCUGUUGGUGGAAUUUCCUGACCACCACGGGUUACGCUGUAGUGCAAAAGAAUCUCCUGGCUCAUUAGAGCAUAGCUGACCUUGCUCUGUUCAGCUGAUGCUCCUCUGAAGCGAAGGAACAGAA